This is a small nucleolar RNA of Hevea brasiliensis (rubber tree), 107 nucleotides long. NCBI's taxonomy places the organism in Eukaryota, Viridiplantae, Streptophyta, Magnoliopsida, Malpighiales, Euphorbiaceae. The record is from RefSeq and is a predicted model, not a curated record.
AUUUAAUGAUAGGGACAACUUGCACACAACUUCUUAAAUCGCUCCCAAAACUCAUAUAAACUCUCUCCAUUAUAUAGCCGGAUGCCACAAAUUUCUUUUCUUAUGUU